GACAGAGGGUGCAAACGUUGUUCGGAUUUACUGGGCGUAAAGCGUGUGUAGGCGGCUUCGCAAGUUGGAUGUGAAAUCCCACGGCUCAACCGUGGACGUGCAUCCAAAACUGCGUCGCUGGAGUCUCGGAGAGGAAGGUGGAAUGCUUGGUGUAGAGGUGAAAUUCGUAGAUAUCAAGCAGAACACCUGCGGCGAAGGCGGCCUUCUGGACGAUGACUGACGCUGAGACACGAAAGCGUGGGGAGCAAACAGG
RNAcentral lists this ribosomal RNA (253 nucleotides) under uncultured bacterium. RNAcentral's name for it is "partial 16S ribosomal RNA". It matches the Rfam family "Bacterial small subunit ribosomal RNA", at positions 524 to 776 of the family's 1533-position model. The record is from RNAcentral.